CUCUGUUUUGGAGGCAUCUCUGUUUUGGAGGUAUCUCUGUUUUGGAGGCAUCUCUGUUUUGGAGGCAUCUCUGUUUUGGAGGUAUCUCUGUUUUGGAGGCAUCUCUGUUUUGGAGGUAUCUCUGUUUUGGAGGUAUCUCUGUUUUGGAGGCAUCUCUGUUUUGGAGGUAUCUCUGUUUUGGAGGUAUCUCUGUUUUGGAGGUAUCUCUGUUUUGGAGGUAUCUGUUUGACUGUCCCAAUUCAUACUGUAAUUCAAGGUUUAGUUCAGCAACAAUUUGGAGAAGAAAGAAAGAAAGAACGAAGGAUGGAAGUAGUGGUAUGGUGCCAGAUAAGACAGAGGGUAUGACCUGCCAACAUGAGGUGAAGAAAACACACUGGAAAACUGUACACAUUGUGUCCCAGAGAAGACACGAAGGCUUCAGCAAUGUUGUUCUGGGUCAGGAUAAGGUGAGAGGGCUUGUGUAUGAGUGGGUAGUGUGUGAUUCUGAGCACUACAGCACUCCUAUUGUGUAGAAGUGAAUGGAGAAUCCCUGAACUCUGGGGUCUUCUUGAGCAAUGGUUCAUGUGCUUAGUGUUGUUACUGCAGCAAGAUGUCAACAUGACUCCAUGUCUUGUCUCAAUUCAGAGGAAAGCAGCUCUUCAAGCGAAGAUUAAGUCACAAAUCAAUGGUUUCUUUUUCCUCUUCUGAAAAUCAACAACCUUCUCUAUAUAUCUGCUGGAAGAUCUGAGAGCAACAGAUGCAGCCUUCUUUCUUUGAACUGAACGGUGAUGGUAAUGGAGUGCACACUUGUCUAUUCCUGUUAGUUUGUGGUACAAUAUUUAUUGUUAUAGAAAUUAUUUACAUUUGUGAAUACGCAAAUUGUAAUGUAUUGUCAUUUUAUGUGUAUUUAUUUGAUUUGGUCUAUUUAUUUAAAAAAACAAUUAAAUGUAUAUUUAGUAAAUCAAAAAAUGCAACCCUGCUGGUCGAUCAUGGCCAUAAAGAUUUAAAAUAGGAAGUCUUCUACAUCAAUAUUUAAAAAGCUAUUUAGACAACUGUCCACACUUGAUUAUUUUAUAUAUCUUAUUUUAUUUUAAAUAAUUUGUAAACAUUUUUAAUUGCAAAUAUUUUAUAAAUGACAAUGUUUUGAUAAUUUUAUAAAGGUUUUCUCCUUCAUUUAUGCUAUUUCUUUUAUCUGUGUCUUCAGAUACCCACGGCUUAAAAAGAAAGUAUGUAUUUAUUAUUUAUUUCAUAUUAAAUAUUGAUAUGAUUGUAUAUUUAUUUUGUUAUUUAUGUGUGUGUUGUGAUGGCUGAGUAUCAGUAGUGUUAAAAUCCAUUUCUAAUAUUUAAAUACAAUUUUAAAAACCAUGCUCAGAAAGAAUAAAUAGAAUAUUGUUUGAUUACUUAGGCUUUCCUAGAUAUAUCAGCAGUUGUAAAAGCAAAAUAACUAACGAAAGCAAUCACUGUUCUGGUGGUGUCAGAGUGGCUUUGUGUCAUCGAUGAUUUAUUUGCUUUUUGUCAGGAAAAAUAAGACUAAGAAAAUAGACAGAUAUAAGGAUCAAAUGUUACCUCUCCAAGCGCUUUGUAGCGGCCAACACUGGCUUACCCAAAACAUCUUUAAUGUACUAUAGAUGUUUUAAUGCCUUUUGAUAAAUUAUUUUUCUCUUGUCAUUAUUUUCUCUCAAUGUGUUGAGCAGAAGCUCCAAAGAGCUCUGUUCCGGAAUGUUCCGUCUAGACUGGAUGUCUGGGUCUAAGACAUGUAAAGGACAUCUUCAAGAAAAAACUAAACCAUCAAGGAGGAUGACCUCUUUGACAAUUUAUAUCACAUCCACUUCUACGCCCUUGUAGCCUUAUUCUAGAUGACAUUUGUUGAUGCACAAAGUGCCACUACCACUCAGUUUCUUUCCUGAUUCUUUGCAUUCUGCAAUGUACGAUGUCUGGUCACAUGACAUGACCAGGGCGUCACAUGACAUGACCGAGAGUUGGGAUUGUUUCAGAUGCCUUUAUUUCUUUGCCAAGAUGGCCAUAAGUACACUAUAUAUACAUUCUGUAUAAAUAGAAUUUCAAAUGCUAUAUAUAUAUAUAUAUAUAUAUAUAUAUAUAUGAAUAGAAACAUACAUAUAUUUUUCCAGUGUAAUUGUUGACUAUUUUUCUCUUGUAUUAGCUUAUCAAAGGAACAGUAGUUGUUUGAGAGUUGUGACGACUAGAGGUGGUUAUGACUGUGGUUUUAAAGAUACUCAACAAAACCGUCAUUGUUUUUUAGGUUUCCUUUUCUUCUCUAUCCUUGAUCCAAACAUGAUGACGAUAAUAAUAAUAACAAUACAUGGGACUUAUAUAGUGCUUUUUCAAGGACCCAAAGUCGACAUGUUGUAAAUGCUAACGUCUGUUGUAAUGAAUCUGAAAUGACUGUCGUUUUAACUAAAUGGUUGGCUCUUUGUUCAAGUGUCGUGUGAGUGAGUUCAUGUAUAGAGGACUCUUCAUAGUAGUCACAUUGGCUAUAUUGUGCAGUACUGUGUCGUUAUGAUAAGGUUAUGAUCAUGUCAGCCCACUGAGCGGAGUUUUUAAACACGGAUCACAAUGUUAAAAAGCCAAUAGGGAAAGUGUAGUAGAUAGAUAAUAUGAUGAGGUAACCUAGUGGGAGACCCUGUGAUAAUAUGAUGAGGUAACCUAGUGGGAGACCCUGUGAUAAUAUGAUGAGGUAACCUAGUGGGAGACCCUGUGAUAAUAUAAUGAGGUAGCCUAGUGGGAGACCCUGUGAUAAUAUGAUGAGGUAACCUAGUGGGCGACCCUGUGAUAAUAUGAUGAGGUAACCUAGUGGGAGACCCUGUGAUAAUAUGAUGAGGUAACCUAGUGGGAGACCCUGUGAUAAUAUGAUGAGGUAACCUAGUGGGAGACCCUGUGAUAAUAUAAUGAGGUAACCUAGUGGGAGACCCUGUGAUAAUAUAAUGAGGUAACCUAGUGGGAGACCCUGUGAUAAUAUGAUGAGGUAACCUAGUGGGAGACCCUGUGAUAAUAUGAUGAGGUAACCUAGUGGGAGACCCUGUGAUAAUAUGAUGAGGUAACCUAGUGGGAGACCCUGUGAUAAUAUAAUGAGGUAACCUAGUGGGCAUGGAUGGUGUAAUUAGCUUUUAGCCAGUGUAAUGAAACUCUCUUGGGCACUUUUUUAAAAACCAUUGAAUAUGCGAGCAUUUGAGUUUGGACUUUUUAGAACACACUGGGUUUUGGUCACUAGCAAAGUACCGGUAUUCACCCCAGCAGAAGAAACAAAGAACUGCAUAUUUGACCUGUUUUGUUAUAUUUAAUGUAAAUCUAAACACUGAUAUGUAGAAUGCCCUUUGCAUCAGUGUCCGGAGGGUUGAUUCAAUUGAUGGUAUCAGGUUUUUAUACAUGCCAGUAAUACUCUUCACACCAUACAAGGGGAAGCAGAGUUUGGCUCGCAGGUUACUGGAAAGAACUGACUAAAUCUGCAUAAUAAUAUGAUACUAGGGCAUUAGCCAAAGCCUGCGGCGAUAGCAGGGAUUGGAUCAAGCCCUCCAAGUGAAAAGAGAGGAACGUGUGGGAGUGGAGAUUGAAUUGCUGCAUUAGAGGUCUCCCUCUUGGUUUGGAAGAGGUGUUUGUUGCAUAAAUAUGUGUCCAUUACUCAGAAUGUCAAAACCUUUUAAUGGCUUCUCCCCUUCUGUAUUGUGUAACCUUUACUCAGGAAGGAGUUCUUGAUGCAUUUAGUUAAGAAAGUAGCUUAUUCUUCUCCCAACCCUUUAAUGCAUGAGCUUACAACACUACGAGAGUAUGAAGGUUGUGAUCAUUAGCGUAUCUUUUUUGAUAUGGCAUGACCCCUUUGAAACUAGUUGAACAGCACUGAGAUACUGAGAUUAAAUAGCAAAAUGACAGUCCAACACAGUUAUAAAGAUUAGGUACAGAACUCAAUGUAAUCAAGAGUGUUAACAACAACAGCUUGUCCGUUUGAUAGGGAGUGAUGGACAUAUUCUUCAUAUAAGGAGUUUAUGUGUUCCGUAUUCGUGAUGGUUCAGUAUUUUCUAAAUGGUCCAUUGGGAUGGGAUAGAAGCUCUGAAGCUGGACUGUGUUCCAUUGACACGGACCAGGGUGUUUGACUGGUCGGUUAAAUGCAUGGUCAUGUUAACGUUCAUGACUGCUGAUGAAAUGUGAUGGAGGAACAUGGAUGGUAUGUGAUUGUACCAUGGUAUGUGAUUGUACCAUGGCAUGUGAUUGUACCAUGGCAUGUGAUUGUACCAUGGUAUGUGAUUGUACCAUGGUAUGUGAUUGUACCAUGGCAUGUGAUUGUACCAUGGUAUGUGAUUGUACCAUGGUAUGUGAUUGUACCAUGGUAUGUGAUUGUACCAUGGCAUGUGAUUGUACCAUGGCAUGUGAUUGUACCAUGGCAUGUGAUUGUACCAUGGCAUGUGAUUGUACCAUGGCAUGUGAUUGUACCAUGGUAUGUGAUUGUACCAUGGUAUGUGAUUGUACCAUGGUAUGUGAUUGUACCAUGGCAUGUGAUUGUACCAUGGUAUGUGAUUGUACCAUGGCAUGUGAUUGUACCAUGGCAUGUGAUUGUACCAUGGCAUGUGAUUGUACCAUGGCAUGUGAUUGUACCAUGGCAUGUGAUUGUACCAUGGCAUGUGAUUGUACCAUGGCAUGUGAUUGUACCAUGGCAUGUGAUUGUACCAUGGUAUGUGAUUGUACCAUGGCAUGUGAUUGUACCAUGGCAUGUGAUUGUACCAUGGUAUGUGAUUGUACCAUGGUAUGUGAUUGUACCAUGGCAUGUGAUUGUACCAUGGUAUGUGAUUGUACCAUGGCAUGUGAUUGUACCAUGGCAUGUGAUUGUACCAUGGUAUGUGAUUGUACCAUGGUAUGUGAUUGUACCAUGGUAUGUGAUUGUACCAUGGCAUGUGAUUGUACCAUGGCAUGUGAAAACGAUCCUUUUCAGUUGAUAGUUGUGAAUGAUGUGGUCUCAUGUAGUGGUUGUAAAAACACAGUGUGUCUGUUUGCUCUGAUAAACAAUGAUCACAUACCUGUGAAUCUCCCUGAAUAAUGGUACAUAUAUUUAAAAAAAAAAAAAAAAAAAUUAAAACAAUGACCUAAUAUGUUAGUCUGUGACAGGCCAGGAUACACAGAGAUCCCGUGUCUUCUCUUUCCAGGCCUGCUUCACCAGUUAAAGGGAGGACAGGCAAGGCCACAUUCGAGUACCCUGUGAACACGAGGGAAGAUAGCCCAAAGUUCCCUAUUCCGAGCUAGGUGCUGUACACAUCUGGAGGCCCCUGAGAAUGGUCCCCUGAUUCUGUUCUCUUCAGGGAAAGACAAGGGAGGGACCCAAUCGUUUGGUGUCUAUACUUCAAAACAUUCUCAUCCAAUUCAGAAACUCAAAAAUGAAAAAAUACAUUUAAAAAAAUCAAAGUAGAUCACAUGAAAGGCAGAAAGGCAUGUCUAGUAGAAUGGUAUAACAUGUCAUUGAGCUAAUCAAACCAAAACCAAACUCCCUCUGUAGGUACUGUAGCUUAAAGCUGUGUGCUUUUAUCAUGUGUGCCUUUCUCUCUCCACUCAUUGCAGGCAAAGGUAUGUUUACAUUUGAAGAAGCUGGUACAAAAUCCUGCUCAAGAGGUUGGCAGGGGUGAAGACGGCUUUUUCAGGGGAUAAGGGAGGGUUUGGGUGGCUAUUCUAAAAAAGCUGAUUAAAUAUAUGUCUUUGACAGGCAGGCAGGCCUGUUGCCGUGGUGACACAUUCACGCUGUUACAGAGACACAAAACAUCAAUAUGUUAUAAUGGUAAAGAAACUGUGACCUAAUUACGACGAUUCAGGUACCAAACUGCAUGGACAGUUUCUGUGAAGGAAAAAAAUCUAAUGAAAAUCAACUUUAUUAUAGACAAUGCAUUAGUGUGUAGGGCAUUAUUUUUUAAACAAGUUGAAACCUCUGUAUAUAUUUGUAUUAAAGAACAGUGUUAUUGUUGUUGUAUUAAAGAAAAGUUCAACAAAAAAAAGUACAUAGAGUUAGUGACAAAAUGCACAGCCAAGGGUUGUCCUGCUAGCCAAUUUUUACAGAGAGAUUUCUAUUGGCCAUUUUCUAGGCAUUCAUAUUAUUAAUAUCCUUUUGGAAAUUACAAACUUCCAAAAUUACAAGCACUUCCACAAUGAUAGAUAGUAAGGAGUUUUGUUACUUUUGUAGAGGUGGUUGUUCCUUUGCUACCAGACAACUCUUGGCUAUGUGUUCUCUGGGUCUCCUGUUAUCUUUUGGAAGUUAACUCUGUAGUUGGGCUGAAAUUGUGACUCUGCAUUUGUUCCCAUGUUCCUGUGUCAAUGUCAUAAACUAGAGAAGUGAUGUCAGUUAUUGUGGGCGUUUUAAUGUUAUCAAUAAUAAUAAAAAAUAAUAAAAACAUUAAUAAAGAAUUAUAGACAAUA
Oncorhynchus tshawytscha (Chinook salmon) is the source of this 6384-nucleotide long non-coding RNA. The record is from Ensembl. NCBI's taxonomy places the organism in Eukaryota, Metazoa, Chordata, Actinopteri, Salmoniformes, Salmonidae.